Molecule: ribosomal RNA, 484 nt
Filed under: uncultured bacterium
Lineage: Bacteria
Description: partial 16S ribosomal RNA
Rfam family: Bacterial small subunit ribosomal RNA
Source: RNAcentral
AUUGAACGCUGGCGGCAGGCCUAACACAUGCAAGUCGAGCGGAUGAAGGGAGCUUGCUCCUGGAUUCAGCGGCGGACGGGUGAGUAAUGCCUAGGAAUCUGCCUGGUAGUGGGGGAUAACGUCCGGAAACGGGCGCUAAUACCGCAUACGUCCUGAGGGAGAAAGUGGGGGAUCUUCGGACCUCACGCUAUCAGAUGAGCCUAGGUCGGAUUAGCUAGUUGGUGGGGUAAAGGCCUACCAAGGCGACGAUCCGUAAUUGGUCUGAGAGGAUGACCAGUCACACUGGAACUGAGACACGGUCCAGACUCCUACGGGAGGCAGCAGUGGGGAAUAUUGGACAAUGGGCGAAAGCCUGAUCCAGCCAUGCCGCGUGUGUGAAGAAGGUCUUCGGAUUGUAAAGCACUUUAAGUUGGGAGGAAGGGCAGUAAGUUAAUACCUUGCUGUUUUGACGUUACCAACAGAAUAAGCACCGGCUAACUUCGUG